CUUCCUGGUGCAGCAGCGACCAAAGUGUAUGCGAGGAAGUUUCCAGAAAAAUCAGAUACCAUCCCAAAACAAGCUGAGACUGCAACCCAAACACUUGGUGAUGGGCGCACGGAAGCUAUGCAUAAAGCAGCAGUAGAAAAGCGUGUCGACAACUUGAAGGACAUCAAAGGUUUCAACGAUGCACC
Long non-coding RNA from Panicum virgatum (switchgrass), 185 nucleotides. RefSeq lists it as uncharacterized. The transcript has 3 exons. Lineage: Eukaryota; Viridiplantae; Streptophyta; Magnoliopsida; Poales; Poaceae. The record is from RefSeq and is a predicted model, not a curated record.